Molecule: non-coding RNA, 68 nt
Filed under: unclassified sequences
Source: RNAcentral
GUCGUCUAAGCAGCAAACCGCCACGAGGUAGACGAUGGGCAACGGUGAUAAACCGGCUAAUUGCUGUA